This 60-nucleotide microRNA precursor is filed under the name Octopus vulgaris (common octopus). Its description in RNAcentral is "Ovu-Mir-193-P1_pre stem-loop". RNAcentral also lists the same sequence under 1 other name. The record is from RNAcentral. Lineage: Eukaryota; Metazoa; Mollusca; Cephalopoda; Octopoda; Octopodidae.
UGGGGGUGCUGAUUGCUCGUUAUGUCGAUAUAAGUUCAUACUGGCCUUCAACAUCCCAAA